UAAUAUAAAGUUUGUGUUCAUGAUAUCAACAAGUUCCCCUAGUGCAUAUCUUGGUGGUAGUAGAAAAUAUUCAAAUGAGAACUUUGAAGAGUGAAGUGGGGAAAUGUUCCAUGUGAACAUCACUUGGACAUGGGUUAGUCGAUCCUAAAAGAUGGGGAAUCCUUGUGUUAAGGGUGCACUCUACAUGAACAUCGAAAUAGAAUUGGGUUAAUAUUCCCAAACUAGGACAUGGUGGUGGACGACAAUGUUAGAAAAUCUGGAGAUGUCAUCGGGGGCCUGGGAAGAGUUAUAUUUUCUUUUUAACGACUUUCCCACCCUGAAAUUGAUUCAACCAAAGAUAGGGUCCAACAUCUAGAAGAGAACCACACGUCUUGUGGUGUUGGUGCCCCCUCGACGGCCAUUAAAAAUAUGGAGAACUGAGUACCAUCCAUGCUCAAUCAUACUCAUAUCUGCCUCCUUGGAUUUUUCAAUUCCCACUAGGU
Non-coding RNA from Picea glauca (white spruce), 482 nucleotides. The record is from Rfam. NCBI's taxonomy places the organism in Eukaryota, Viridiplantae, Streptophyta, Pinopsida, Pinales, Pinaceae.